RNAcentral lists this ribosomal RNA (450 nucleotides) under uncultured Gammaproteobacteria bacterium. Its description in RNAcentral is "bacterial SSU rRNA". It matches the Rfam family "Bacterial small subunit ribosomal RNA", at positions 1087 to 1532 of the family's 1533-position model. The record is from RNAcentral. Lineage: Bacteria; Pseudomonadati; Pseudomonadota; Gammaproteobacteria.
CCGCACGAGCGCACCCUUAUCCUUAGUUGCCAGCACGUUAAUGGUGGGAACUCUAAGGAGACUGCCGGUNGUACAAACCGGAGGAAGGNGGGGACGACGUUCAAGUUCAUCAUGGCCCUUACGAGAUGGGCUACNCACGUGCUACAAUUGGCAAGUACAAAGGGUUGCAAACUCGCGAGAGUAAGCGGAUCCCNUAAAGCUUGUCGUAGUCCGGAUUGGAGUCUGCAACUCGACUCCAUGAAGUCGGAAUCGCUAGUAAUCGUGGAUCAGAAUGCCACGGUGAAUACGUUCCCGGGCCUUGUACACACCGCCCGUCACACCAUGGGAGUGGGCUGCUNAAGAAGUGGAUAGCUUAACCUUCGGGAGGNCGUUCACCACUUUGUGGUUCAUGACUGGGGUGAAGUCGUAACAAGGUAGCCGUAGGGGAACCUGCGGCUGGAUCACCUCCUU